GACAGAGGGUGCAAACGUUGUUCGGAAUCACUGGGCAUAAAGCGCACGUAGGCGGUCCGUUAAGUCAGGUGUGAAAGCCCCCGGCUCAACCGGGGAAUGGCAUUUGAUACUGGCGGGCUCGAGGAUGGCAGGGGUGAGCGGAACUCCAGGUGGAGCGGUGAAAUGCGUAGAUAUCUGGAGGAACACCGGUGGCGAAAGCGGCUCACUGGACCAUAACUGACGCUGAGGUGCGAAAGCUAGGGUAGCAAACGGG
RNAcentral lists this ribosomal RNA (253 nucleotides) under uncultured bacterium. RNAcentral describes it as "partial 16S ribosomal RNA". It matches the Rfam family "Bacterial small subunit ribosomal RNA", at positions 524 to 776 of the family's 1533-position model. The record is from RNAcentral.